Molecule: ribosomal RNA, 253 nt
Filed under: uncultured bacterium
Lineage: Bacteria
Description: partial 16S ribosomal RNA
Rfam family: Bacterial small subunit ribosomal RNA
Source: RNAcentral
UACGUAGGUGGCAAGCGUUGUCCGGAAUUAUUGGGCGUAAAGCGCGCGCAGGCGGUUCCUUAAGUCUGAUGUGAAAGCCCCCGGCUCAACUGGGGAGGGUCAUUCGAUACUGAUCGACUGGAAGGCAGGAGAGGGAAGCGGAAUUCCGGGUGUAGUGGUGGAAUGCGUAGAGAUCCGGAGGAACACCAGCGGCGAAGGCGGCAUCCUGGACUGGUCCUGACACUCAGGAGCGAAAGCGUGGGGAGCGAUCCGG